This 422-nucleotide ribosomal RNA is filed under the name Brachyspira hyodysenteriae. RNAcentral's name for it is "bacterial SSU rRNA". It matches the Rfam family "Bacterial small subunit ribosomal RNA", at positions 90 to 530 of the family's 1533-position model. Lineage: Bacteria; Pseudomonadati; Spirochaetota; Spirochaetia; Brachyspirales; Brachyspiraceae. The record is from RNAcentral.
AGUUAGCGGCGAACUGGUGAGUAACACGUAGGUAAUCUGCCGUAGAGUGGGGGAAACCCAUGGAAACAUGGACUAAUACCGCAUAUACUCUUGCUACAUAAGUAGAGUAGAGGAAAGGAGCAAUCCGCUUUACGAUGAGCCUGCGGCCUAUUAGCCUGUUGGUGGGGUAACGGCCUACCAAAGCUACGAUAGGUAGCCGACCUGAGAGGGUGACCGGCCACAUUGGGACUGAGAUACGGCCCAGACUCCUACGGGAGGCAGCAGCUGAGAAUCUUCCACAAUGGACGAAAGUCUGAUGGAGCGACAUCGCGUGAGGGAUGAAGGCCUUCGGGUUGUAAACCUCGGAAAUUAUCGAAGAAUGAGUGACAGUAGAUAAUGUAAGCCUCGGCUAACUACGUGCCAGCAGCCGCGGUAAUACGUAG